This 850-nucleotide ribosomal RNA is filed under the name Zoanthus pulchellus. RNAcentral describes it as "partial 16S ribosomal RNA". It matches the Rfam family "Bacterial large subunit ribosomal RNA", at positions 1637 to 2551 of the family's 2925-position model. The record is from RNAcentral. Lineage: Eukaryota; Metazoa; Cnidaria; Anthozoa; Zoantharia; Zoanthidae.
GGGUACUGUACUAAACUAACUAAAGUGGGGGAUAGUGAGGGGAUAAAUUUUCUUAAGGAACUCGGCAAAAUCCCAAUGGCCCACCAGGGCAUAUUGGAACACGGGCCUCGACUGUUUACCAAAAACAUAGCCCUCGGCUAAUAUGAAAAUAGAUGUAUAGAGGGUGAUGCCUGCCCAAUGGUUGUAUCUAAAAGCGGUUGAUAAAAGUUGACCUCGUAAGGACAAUUGAAUGGCCGCGGUAACACUGACCGUGAUAAUGUAGCGUAAUCAAUAGCCAAUUAAUUGUUGGCCAGUAUGAAUGGCGCCACGAAGGCCCCACUGUCUUAAGGAAAUUCCCAGUGAAAUUGAAUUCGUAGUGAAGAUGCUACGUCCAAUUUGUUAGACGAAAAGACCCCGUUGAGCUUUACUGGAGCACUUACAUGGCCCCGGCCUUCCCAUGCCUGGGAACCGGCCGAAUUUAAAUGGGCGGCUUAGAUUAUGUGGCAGCCCCCCGCUGGGGCAAAUGAAACACCACUCCCCCAUGUCAAAGGGGCUAACCCCCCCCCUUGGGGGGACAGUGUAAGUAGGACAGUUUGGUUGGGGCGACCACCUUUUAAAAAGUAACGAAGGUGCGCUUAAGGUGCGCAAUUAAUGACUGAAGCCUGACUGCGAGGGGGACACCCCGAGCAGACACCCCAAAGCCCGCCCGAAAGACGCCGUUGGGGUGGGCCAUAGUGACCCGUUAAUUUAGAGUGGAAUAGUUAACGAUCAACGAAUAAAAGUUACCACGGGGAUAACAGCGUAAUAUCGUUAGAGAGUUCACAUCGACGACGAUGUUUGCGACCUCGAUGUUGAAUUGCGGCAUCCUGGG